This 392-nucleotide ribosomal RNA is filed under the name uncultured Gammaproteobacteria bacterium. RNAcentral's name for it is "bacterial SSU rRNA". It matches the Rfam family "Bacterial small subunit ribosomal RNA", at positions 370 to 779 of the family's 1533-position model. The record is from RNAcentral. Lineage: Bacteria; Pseudomonadati; Pseudomonadota; Gammaproteobacteria.
AAUGGGCGCAAGCCUGAUCUAGCCAUGCCGCGUGAGUGAUGAAGGCCUUAGGGUCGUAAAGCUCUUUCGCCAGGGAUGAUAAUGACAGUACCUGGUAAAGAAACCCCGGCUAACUCCGUGCCAGCAGCCGCGGUAAUACGGAGGGGGUUAGCGUUGUUCGGAAUUACUGGGCGUAAAGCGCACGUAGGCGGACUAUUAAGUCGGGGGUGAAAUCCCGGGGCUCAACCCCGGAACUGCCUCCGAUACUGGUAGUCUUGAGUUCGAGAGAGGUGAGUGGAAUUCCAAGUGUAGAGGUGAAAUUCGUAGAUAUUCGGAGGAACACCAGUGGCGAAGGCGGCUCACUGGCUCGAUACUGACGCUGAGGUGCGAAAGUGUGGGGAGCAAACAGGAUU